ACAGUCUAAGUAAAGAAUCCUGUUUUAAGAGUGGCAAAUUCAACUCUCCUCCAAAAGUGGACACCAAAUGCUGUCAGACAGGAGAGAGGGUUGUGAGAGAGGAGGAAGACCUGUGACGAAGGCCAUCAGGAUGGGACUCGAACCCUCAGCUGCCACAUCAAGGACUAAGGCCUCUGAAUGGUGUGAUGCAUGUCAGCGGCAUCUGGGCCAACACUGGCAGGACAGUGAUCAGACUGUAACUCUGACAUUGUGCUGUGUGACAGAGGACUCAAGCUGUAUAUCAUGAGAUGACACCUCCUUUGCCUCCCACCAUCUCUUCACAAACAUCAAAUAU
Molecule: long non-coding RNA, 334 nt
Organism: Gambusia affinis (western mosquitofish)
Lineage: Eukaryota; Metazoa; Chordata; Actinopteri; Cyprinodontiformes; Poeciliidae
Exons: 4
Source: RefSeq, a predicted model, not a curated record